GAUGAACGCUGGCGGCGUGCCUAAUACAUGCAAGUCGAGCUAACGGACGAGAAGCUUGCUUCUCUGAUGUUAGCGGCGGACGGGUGAGUAACACGUGGAUAACCUACCUAUAAGACUGGGAUAACUUCGGGAAACCGGAGCUAAUACCGGAUGAUAUUUUGAACCGCAUGGUUCAAAAGUGAAAGACGGUCUUGCUGUCACUUAUAGAUGGAUCCGCGCUGCAUUAGCUAGUUGGUAAGGUAACGGCUUACCAAGGCAACGAUGCAUAGCCGACCUGAGAGGGUGAUCGGCCACACCGGAAAUGAGACACGGUCCAGACUCCUACGGGAGGCAGCAGUAGGGAAUCUUCCACAAUGGGCGAAAGCCUGACGGAGCAACGCCGCGUGAGUGAUGAAGGUCUUCGGAUCGUAAAACUCUGUUAUUAGGGAAGAACAUAUGUGUAAGUAACUGUGCACAUCUUGACGGUACCUAAUCAGAAAGCCACGGCUAACUAAGUG
RNAcentral lists this ribosomal RNA (497 nucleotides) under uncultured bacterium. RNAcentral describes it as "partial 16S ribosomal RNA". It matches the Rfam family "Bacterial small subunit ribosomal RNA", at positions 28 to 507 of the family's 1533-position model. The record is from RNAcentral.